GCCCGCCCCGCGCUGGCGAAGCGCGACCCGUCCCGCCCCGCCCCGCCCUCGGCACAGCGUCAGAGGCGGGGACGCGCGCUGGUCUAUUUUUGGGCAUCCGGAUGGCGACUGCGGGAAAUCGAGUUCUCAUGCUGGGGCGAAAGGUGUGUCUGCAGGAGCCAAAUCCAAAUGAGCAGUCCAGGUACUUCAGAGUUUUAACCUGAGCGAAACAGGAAUGUCUCGGGUCUUAACAGGACCGUCCGCCCGCUCGGAAGAGGCGAAUCUCCCACGGCAGACGUCUGGGUGUGCGAAUGCCAGUUGAGCGGGGCCUCGAGGACGCGUCACACACAGCGAGGAUUUGAGGAGGGAAGCGCCUUCCAGGAAAAGAAAAUUUGGACAUAGACUCAUACAGAGGAAAGAUGAUGUGAGGACAGACAUCUAAGCCACGGAGCAAGGCCCUUCCCUCACAGCUCUCAGAAGGAACCAAACCUGUUGACAUCUGUUUUUUUUUUUUUGAGAUGGAGUCUAGCUCUGUCGCCCAGGCUGGAGUGCAGUAGCACGAUCUCAGCUCACUGCAGCCUCCGCCUCCCAGGUUCAAGCAAUUCUCCUGCCUCAGCCUCCCGAGUAGCUGGGAUUACAGGCACCCGCCACCACGCCCGGCUAAUUUUUAUAUUUUUAGUAGAGACAGGGUUUCACCACGUUGGCCAGGCUGGUCUCGAACUCCUGACUUCAAGUGAUCUGCUCUCCUUGGCCUCCCAAAGUGCUGGGAUCACAGGCGUGAGCCACUGCACCCGGCCCCUGUUGACAUCUUGAUCUCAGACUUCACCCGGCCCCCGAUGACAUCUUGAUCUCAGACUUCUGGUCUCCAGAAUGGUGGGAAAAUAAAUUGCUGUUUAAUCUACCCAGUCUGUGGUUCUUUAUUAUAGCAGCCCUAGCAAACUAAUACUAAGGCUCUAACCUUUAUCUCCCUCCCCUCUCUUAUUAUUCCCUAAGAGGAAGUCCAAACUGCAAUAGGCAAAGAUUCUUAAUGGACCUUGCAUGCCUUGUUUAGCCUGCUCUCAAAAUGCAGUAAUCUCCUGUACUGCAACAAUGAAAACCUUACCCAUUUUUCAGGACAAAAUCCUUUUAAACUCUCCACCUCUGAUCAACAGAGCCUACACCAUCGAUCUCUCCUUUCUUU
RNAcentral lists this long non-coding RNA (1159 nucleotides) under Homo sapiens (human). RNAcentral describes it as "HSALNT0353922". The record is from RNAcentral. Lineage: Eukaryota; Metazoa; Chordata; Mammalia; Primates; Hominidae.